RNAcentral lists this ribosomal RNA (399 nucleotides) under uncultured bacterium. RNAcentral's name for it is "bacterial SSU rRNA". It matches the Rfam family "Bacterial small subunit ribosomal RNA", at positions 358 to 773 of the family's 1533-position model. The record is from RNAcentral.
GGAAUCUUGCCCAAUGGGCGAAAGCCUGAGGCAGCAACGCCGCGUGUGGGAUGACGGCCCUCGGGUUGUAAACCACUUUCAGCAGGGACGCAAUCGACGGUCACUGCAGAAGAAGCUCCGGCCAACUACGUGCCAGCAGCCGCGGUAAUACGUAGGGCGCGAGCGUUGUCCGGAUUUAUUGGGCGUAAAGAGCGCGUAGGCGGCUCGGUAAGCCGGAUGUGAAACCUCCAAGCUCAACUUGGAGCGGCCAUUCGGAACUGCCGUGGCUAGAGUCCGGUAGGGGAACACGGAAUACCUGGUGUAGCGGUGAAAUGCUUAGAUAUCAGGUGGAACACCAGUGGCGAAGGCGGUGUUCUGGGCCGGUACUGACGCUGAGGCGCGAAAGCGUGGGGAGCGAAC